GUCUAUAGCCAUGCUACCCUGAACAAGCCCGAUCCUGUCUGAUCUCGGAAGCUAAGCAAGGUCGGGCCUGGUUUGUGCUUGGAUGGGAGACUACUUAGAAAGACCAAGUGCUGUAGGCA
Molecule: ribosomal RNA, 119 nt
Filed under: Pteropus alecto (black flying fox)
Lineage: Eukaryota; Metazoa; Chordata; Mammalia; Chiroptera; Pteropodidae
Source: RNAcentral